UGGGCUGGUCGAAAGACCCAGGUCCAACCUACUACGGCGGGCAAACUGUC
This 50-nucleotide small RNA is filed under the name uncultured Treponema sp. RNAcentral's name for it is "DUF3800-XI RNA". It matches the Rfam family "DUF3800-XI RNA". Rfam says of the family: Actinobacteria, Firmicutes, Proteobacteria, Spirochaetes (1 example). The record is from RNAcentral. Lineage: Bacteria; Pseudomonadati; Spirochaetota; Spirochaetia; Treponematales; Treponemataceae.